Callithrix jacchus (white-tufted-ear marmoset) is the source of this 1682-nucleotide non-coding RNA. Lineage: Eukaryota; Metazoa; Chordata; Mammalia; Primates; Cebidae. The record is from RefSeq and is a predicted model, not a curated record.
AUGGUGACAGCUCCAGUCACUAAGUUUUAUGUCAGCGGCAGUUCUCACUACAGCGCCAGGACGAGUCAGGUUCGGGUUGGUCCGCGGAGAUCUCUCUCCUCUCGCUCGGCUGCGGGAAAUCGGGCUGAAGCCACCGAGUCCGCGUCGGAGAGAGAAAAGGAACCGUCCCAUAAGCUCUUUAUUGGUGGCUUAAGCUUUGAAACCACAGAAGGAGGUUUGAGGAACUACUACGAACAAUGGGGAAAGCUUACAGAUUGUGUGGUAAUGAGGGAUCCGGCCAAAGAUCGAGAGGAUCUGGUUCUGUGACUUUCUCCUCCACGGCUGAGGUUGAUGCUCAGGGCUGCAAGGCCUCAUUCCAUUGAUGGGAGAGUCCUUGAACCAAAACGUGCUGUAGCAGGAGAGGAAUCUGGAAAACCGGGGGCUCAUGUAACUGUGAAGAAGCUGUUUGUUGGUGGAAUUAAGAUACUGAGGAACGUCACCUUAGAGAUGACUUUGAGGAGUAUGGAAAGAUCGAUACCAUUGAAAUAAUUACUGAUAGGCAGUCUGGAAAGAAGAGAGGCUUUGGCUUGGUUACUUUGAUGACCAUGAUCCUGCGGAUAAAAUCGUGUUGCGGAAAUACCACAGCAUCAGUGGUCCUAAUGCAGAAGGAAGAAAGGCUCUGUCUAGACAAGAAAUGCAGGAACUUCAAAGUUCUAGGAGUGGAAGAGGAGGCAGCUUUGGCUUUCGGGAUUCUCGUAGCGGUGGAGGAAAUUUCGGACCAGGACCAGGAAGUAACUUUAGAGGAGGAGCUGAUGGAUAUGGCAGUGGACGUGGAUUUGGGGAUGGCUACAGUGGGUAUUGAGGAGGACCCGGAGGUGGCAAUUUUGGAGGUAGCCCUGGUUAUGGAGGAGGAAGAGGAGGAUAUGGUGGUGGGGGACCUGGAUAUGGCAACCAGGGUGGGGGCUACAGAGGUGGUUAUGACAACUAUGGAGGAGGAAAUUAUGGCAGCGGAAAUUACAAUGAUUUUGGAAAUUAUAACCAGCAACCUUCUAACUACGGUCCAAUGAAAAGUGGAAACUUUGGUGGCAGCAGGGACAUGGGGGGACCAUAUGGUGGAGGAAACUAUGGUCCAGGAGGCAGUGGAGGAAGGGGGGGUUAUGGUGGGAGGAGCCGAUAUUGAGCUUCUUCCUCUUUGCCAUGGGCUUCACUGUGUAAAAAUAGGAAAGGAUGAGAACCCAGAGGUAACAGAACAGCUUCAGGUUAUUGAAAUAACAAUGUUAAGGAAACUCUCAUCUCAGUCAUGCAUAAAUAUGCAGUGAUAUGGCAGAAGACACCAGAGCAGAUGCAGAGAGCCAUUUUGUGAAUGGAUUGGAUUAUUUGAUAACAUUACCUUACUGUGGAGGAAGCAUUGUAAAAAAAAAUGCCUUUGAGACAGUUUCUUAGCUUUUUAAUUGUUGUUUCUUUCUAGUGGUCUUUGUAAGAGUGUAGAAGCACUCCUUCUUUGAUAAUGUUAAAUUUGUAAGUUUCAGGUGACAUGUGAAACCUUUUUAAAGAUUUUUCUCAAGGUUUUGAAAAGCUAUUAGCCAGGAUCAUGGUGUAAUAAGACAUAACGUUUUUCCUUUAAAAAAAUUUAAGUGCGUGUUUAGAGUUAAGAAGCUGUUGUACAUUUAUGAUUUAAUAAAAUAAUUCUAAAGGAAAAAAAA